This is a long non-coding RNA of Mauremys reevesii (Reeves's turtle), 423 nucleotides long. RefSeq lists it as uncharacterized. Lineage: Eukaryota; Metazoa; Chordata; Testudines; Geoemydidae. The transcript is spliced from 2 exons. The record is from RefSeq and is a predicted model, not a curated record.
UUGUUUUGCCUGCUGCUAAAUGGCAUUUUUCAAACUGCUGAGUGUUCUAAUGAGAGAUGCCAAGGUGGACACUAUCACAAGCCCAGCUUUACCGAUCAGCCAGACAAAGCAGAGCGUUGCCAGCCAGCUGCUCAAUGGGGCUUAAUACAGUGGCAAGAUUUGCAGGGAAGUAAAGGCACUUCCGAUUCAUCAGCCUCCAGGAAAGUAUGUUUUCACCUUGGGUGCCGUUUUCCUAAACAGACAACUUCUAAUUAAACAAACAUCUCCCUCUCUGAAAUAUGCCCUGGAAAAAAAACUCCUAAAAUGAUAUUCCAGGAAUAUACACCUCUGCCUCUCCCCACCCCUCAAAAAUCCCUAUGACUAAUAUGUAUGGAAAAUAUCCUGAUUUUCUGCAAUUAAAGAAAGACAGAUCAAUGUUUAGAA